RNAcentral lists this long non-coding RNA (979 nucleotides) under Sorghum bicolor (sorghum). RNAcentral's name for it is "long non-coding RNA (SBIC_LNC005589)". Lineage: Eukaryota; Viridiplantae; Streptophyta; Magnoliopsida; Poales; Poaceae. The record is from RNAcentral.
GUUUGUACACUUCUUAUUGAUUAUGAUUUUACAUCGACCUGCAUAUUUGAGAUAAAAUCUGCCAUGAUGACAAAAAAUAUCCACAUCAAGGCAGCAAUUGCAGACACUGACGGUGGUCAUGCCUGAGGCAGCAUGCCCUGCCGCCAACUGACUGGAGGAUCAAGCAUCUGUCAUACAACUUCAUCAACUCAACAAUAAAAACUCGCCAAAACCAAACUGCUCAUAAAUUAGCACAACAAUAAUUUGCACUGACUUCUGAACUUACACUUACAGACUACCCAUUCUUCAUGUUGUUGAAAUAAAACUGAUCUUGUUGUAAAAAACAAAGUUUUACAUAUAGAUUAUGACCAUGAACAUGCACGUUCUACAAACUUCACAAUGACGGCAGGCAGCUUUGGGCAUGGAUGGGCCUUCGGAACCAGAAUAUGAGCCAUGUCCAGAUCCUUGACGACAUCAGCAUUAACCUCCAGGGACCCUUCACACGAGACAUGCUUGAUCUGUGUCCAUGUAGGGAGCACUUCUGCAUUGAUUCACCCUGUUAUAUCCUCUAAUCAGUGGUUCUGUCAACCCUGGAAGAAGAAUGUGAAACGUUAGUCCACGUUUAGAAUACCCAAUCAGAAACUAAAAUAUGAGAACACAACCUUGAAGAUACCUAAUCAGUCAAUCCUCACAUUCAGGGGUGCACGAAUACAAACCACGAACAUCCCUAACGAAACCAAUCUUAUCAGUUGAUAGCAGGUGAACUGAAGACAUGCUAUAGGCUUUGGUCAGGCUUUGGUCAGGCAUUGGUGCUCAGUUCAUGGUGCUCAGUUCAUACUAAAUUCAUGACUGUUUCCAGAAAAAGGUCUGAACACCGCCGGAGCUCCCCCUGACGAAUACCGACCUGCGGGUCCCGCGCGUGGAGGAUGCUGCGUCGGGGCACGGCCGGCCGCCUCCUGCCGCCGGUGGCGCGGUGGGGUGAGGGGCGGCGCCUCCCCCG